This 253-nucleotide ribosomal RNA is filed under the name uncultured bacterium. Its description in RNAcentral is "partial 16S ribosomal RNA". It matches the Rfam family "Bacterial small subunit ribosomal RNA", at positions 524 to 776 of the family's 1533-position model. The record is from RNAcentral.
UACGUAGGGUGCGAGCGUUAAUCGGAAUUACUGGGCGUAAAGCGUGCGCAGGCGGUUUUGUAAGCCGGAUGUGAAAUCCCCGGGCUCAACCUGGGAAUGGCAUUUGGGACUGCAAGGCUGGAGUGUGGCAGAGGAGACUGGAAUUCCUGGUGUAGCAGUGAAAUGCGUAGAUAUCAGGAGGAAUACCGAUGGCGAAGGCAGGUCUCUGGGCUGACACUGACGCUCAUGCACGAAAGCGUGGGGAGCAAACAGG